AUUGAACGCUGGCGGCAGGCCUAACACAUGCAAGUCGAGCGAGCGGCGGACGGGUGAGUAAUGUCCGGGAAACUGCCUGAUGGAGGGGGAUAACUACUGGAAACGGUAGCUAAUACCGCAUACCAUCAGAUGUGCCCAUAGGGGAUUAGCUAGUAGGUGGGGUAAUGGCUCACCUGGGCGACGAUCCCUAGCUGGUCUGAGAGGAUGACCAGCCACACUGGGACUGAGACACGGCCCAGACUCCUACGGGAGGCAGCAGUGGGGAAUAUUGCGCAAUGGGCGCAAGCCUGACGGAGCCAUGCCGCGUGAGUGAAGAAGGCCUUCGGGUUGUAAAGCACUUUCGGUAGGGAGGCGUUACCUACAGAAGAAGCACCGGCUAACUACGUGCCAGCAGCCGCGGUAAUUC
This 406-nucleotide ribosomal RNA is filed under the name uncultured bacterium. RNAcentral's name for it is "partial 16S ribosomal RNA". It matches the Rfam family "Bacterial small subunit ribosomal RNA", at positions 30 to 526 of the family's 1533-position model. The record is from RNAcentral.